Molecule: non-coding RNA, 260 nt
Organism: Caretta caretta (loggerhead turtle)
Lineage: Eukaryota; Metazoa; Chordata; Testudines; Cheloniidae
Source: RefSeq, a predicted model, not a curated record
UAUUUGAGCCCCUCCUCUGGGCUUGCAAGUAGAGGCUGGGCCCUGUCCCACUCUGGAGCCACAAACACAGGAGGAGCUGACAGCCGGUGUCCAGUAAAGAACUGUACAUUGUUGUUGUUCCUGAAUCUGCAAAAAACCCAACAACCCUACAUAAAUACAUUACAAUGAUUUGGACAGAGCACACACUUCCAAAUGAAGUCAACAGAAGCUAUGGGAGCUCAAUGUCUGAAAAUCAGACCCCAUUGAAGUCAAUGAGACCA